Long non-coding RNA from Cannabis sativa, 766 nucleotides. RefSeq lists it as uncharacterized. The record is from RefSeq and is a predicted model, not a curated record. The transcript is spliced from 3 exons. NCBI's taxonomy places the organism in Eukaryota, Viridiplantae, Streptophyta, Magnoliopsida, Rosales, Cannabaceae.
UCGGGACCAAAAGUGAAAGGAAAUGAUCUAAGGUUUCGUGAGGCAUCAGCUAAGUUUGCGCAUCACAUAAAGCCAAGUCAAGUCAAGUCAGGUCAAGCCAAGCCAAGCCAAGCCAAGCAAAGCCAAGCCAAGCCGUCUCAUGCCAUGCCAACGCCAUGCAUUUUCGUUUUUGUUUCGGACGGUAUUGGGUCCCACACGGUUUACACAAGGCAGCCAACAAGACUGAACCCUCUGUUUUGUCCCAUUCGACCCAGCACUUUCACAUCCUAUUUAUUUAUUUAGUUUUAAAUAUUUUCUUUAAUUUAAAUAAAUAAUAAUAAAAAAAAAAAACAACAGGCCGAAUACUUUGUGGAAAAGAUAUGAUUAGUGGGGUGGUUUUUUGUGAUUAUAAUAAUGAUUAUAGAGUAUAUUAAGGGAACAAGAUUAUGUAAUGGGAGCGGAAAAAGUCUUUAUGUAAGGUAAGGGCAAGGCUAAGGUUGAGCAGCCGUGAGAGCGAGUAGAUGGAGAUUGUACAUGUCGAGACGGUUAGGCCUGGAGCGUACGGUCUUUGGGACAUCAGGGUUUAUUUUGUAUAGUCUCUAAGCGAUAAACUUUUGUAUAUGCACAAUAAAACUUUUGUAAUGGGAUCCCAGUUUAAUUUAUGUAUAUUAUUUUAGUGUUUAUAAUUAAUUAAGUAAAAUUUUAAUUUAUCACGAUUUUUAAUAAACUCAUUGAUUAGCAGCGAACUGCAUAGUUAAAUAACUUAUAACUUAUAGUUAACUUUUAC